AUUGAACGCUGGCGGCAGGCCUAACACAUGCAAGUCGAGCGGAUGAAGGGAGCUUGCUCCUGGAUUCAGCGGCGGACGGGUGAGUAAUGCCUAGGAAUCUGCCUGGUAGUGGGGGAUAACGUCCGGAAACGGGCGCUAAUACCGCAUACGUCCUGAGGGAGAAAGUGGGGGAUCUUCGGACCUCACGCUAUCAGAUGAGCCUAGGUCGGAUUAGCUAGUUGGUGGGGUAAAGGCCUACCAAGGCGACGAUCCGUAACUGGUCUGAGAGGAUGAUCAGUCACACUGGAACUGAGACACGGUCCAGACGCCUACGGGAGGCAGCAGUGGGGAAUAUUGGACAAUGGGCGAAAGCCUGAUCCAGCCAUGCCGCGUGUGUGAAGAAGGUCUUCGGAUUGUAAAGCACUUUAAGUUGGGAGGAAGGGCAGUAAGUUAAUACCUUGCCGUUUUGACGUUACCAACAGAAUAAGCACCGGCUAACUUCGUG
This 484-nucleotide ribosomal RNA is filed under the name uncultured bacterium. RNAcentral describes it as "partial 16S ribosomal RNA". It matches the Rfam family "Bacterial small subunit ribosomal RNA", at positions 30 to 507 of the family's 1533-position model. The record is from RNAcentral.